Molecule: ribosomal RNA, 253 nt
Filed under: uncultured bacterium
Lineage: Bacteria
Description: partial 16S ribosomal RNA
Rfam family: Bacterial small subunit ribosomal RNA
Source: RNAcentral
UACGUAGGGGGCUGGCGUUGUCCGGAAUCAUUGGGCGUAAAGAGCGUGUAGGCGGCCCGGUAAGUCCGCUGUAAAAGUCAAAGGCUUAACCUUUGAAUGUCAGUGGAUACUGCCGGGCUAGAGUCCGGAAGAGGCGAGUGGAACUCCUGGUGUAGCGGUGGAAUGCGCAGAUAUCAGGAAGAACACCAACGGCGAAGGCAGCUCGCUAGGACGGUACUGACGCUGAGACGCGAAAGCGUGGGGAGCGAACAGG